UUUUUUUUUUUUUUUUUUUUUUGUCUUUUUACCUUUUUGCCAUUUCUUGGGCCGCUCCUACGGCAUAUGGAGGUUCCCAGGCUAGGGGUCAAAUCGGAGCUGUAGCCACCCGCCUACGCCGGAGCCACAGCAACGCAGGAUCCGAGCUCACGGCAACGCCGGAACCUUAACCCACUGAGCAAGGCCAGGGAUCGAACCCGCAACCUCCUGGUUCCUAGUCAGGUUUGUUAACCACUGACCAAGCCGGGAACUCCCCUCUGCUUCCACUUUUAAUACACAGCAUCAGUAUUGAAUGGCCCUGAACAGGCAAGUUUUGUAUUUUAGAAAACACUCUUCUAUCUCUCUGACAUGCUUCUCCCAUUAAUCCUUUUCUAGUUAAUAUUGUCUUAUAUUUCAAAUUACAGUUCAAAUAUCACCUUUUUUAGGGAAUCCUAAAUCUUUCACACCAUCUUGUCUGGACAGAAUUAAUCACUCAGCCAUACAUACUCCCAUGAAUGUAUUAAGGCAUUUAAAUUCAAUAUAUAUCAUUUAAUAAGAAGCUAUUUUGUAUUAGAAAUUUUAUGGUUUUCUCUAUACAUGCAUAUAUUCUCAGUACAAGACUAAAAGCUUGUGACGUCUAAGGAGCACACCAUUCUUUUCUGUAUUCAGGAUGCUUAGCACAGGGCCUGGGAUUUAGUAUCAAUAUAUGCUUACUGAAUUAACCCAUUUACAUGGCCUUUGAAAUAUUGCCAUUCUGGAGUGUGUACAUCAUUCUACACAGAUAGCUUAUGAAUCUAAUCACCAGGCUUCUUUGUAACAUUCUUUAGUUACAAUAAUUACUUUUCAUUGUAACAGGUUAUCACGUGCAAUUUCUAAAAGAAUGCAUAUUCCUCAAGGAGAGAAAAGAUGAGUAAAUCACAUUUCCUGUAUAGCCUAAGAAAUUUGACCUCUACUUAUGGAUAGUUUCACAUGUCUUUCAUUAUCUUUUAGGAAGCACUUAGACUACAAAGAAUCAUUACAACAUAGUGGCCUAGAAUACGAAGUUGUAAUCAGAGAAAGAUGCCUUUCAUUUCCAGUUCCAUGACUUUGUGCUGUCUUUGUUGUGUAAACAUUUCUGUGAGUUAUUUUAGCUCUCUCAACUUAAGUUCACUUGUUGGGGGGUGGGUAAGGGAGGGAAGGAUAAUAUGUUGUUUAUUAGUGUGAGCCUUAAACUACGUAUAUGAAACACUAAUAGAGAAGCUGCACAUAGUAAGUACUCAAAUACUCAAAAGAAAAAAAAUCUAUUUACCACCCACCAUUUGCCCCACAUAAAGCUGAGAGUAUCAUGAGAUCUAAUAAAAUUUUAAAAAUAUAUAUUUAACCAUGUUAUUUUUCUCAAGAAAAUCACUGCCUUGCUCAGAACUAAAACUUGCUCAUAGGAAACUACUAAAUAAAAAAAAAUAUGACACAUUGUUUAAUUAUAAAACAUGUUGCCUGAUUCAGAAUGUGGUAUGAUGACAGUAGUUUAGAGAAAGGAAAGAAAAUUGUGAAUUAUAGAAAUCCUUGUGUCUUUCUAUGGAAAGCAGUGCAAAAGAAAGGCAGAUGAAGGUUGACACAUCCCAGAGAUGUGGCAGGGGAAUGGAAACGUAGUUUUAGAACUACUGAAAUACGAUCUCAAAAUAAAAUAACUCAUAAUAUCCCUUCCUUUUUUUCUUUUCUGAAUUUACUCAAGAUGUUGUGGUUUUAAGCACAUUGGACCAAGCACAUUUGGGAAGUGCCUUUGCUGUGUUGUCUGAAGUCCUGGCAAUCGAUGGAGGUAAAUAUCACUGCCACCAACUUCAAAAGUGUGUACUAACUACAGUCUCAGAGUCAUUUAUUAUUUUUUGAUGUAGGGUCACUGAUUUUGAGCCAUGUUCUGACAGACUUCCUAAAGGAAACCCCAAACACUACUAUAAGAGGAAGAGGUCACAAUCACUUCCUUAUUUUCUUGAAUCGUGAUUUAUUGACCCAAAAGGAACGGAGGCUAAUGAUGCACAAAGAGUGUUUAUUAUUAGAUAUUCAAUAUAAUAUUCAAAGUGCAUGGAAUUUUCUGCAGGCAUUUCUAAGAAUAGUUAUGAAGUACAUGUCUGUGCGAUCAUGCUGGGAUGAAGAGGCGUGUGCUGAUGCAACUUACAUUACACAUGAAUUUUAAUUGUACUGAUUUCCACUACAUAUAAAUACUCUUGAAAAUAUGACCAUUCUAAUUUGGUUUGGUAAACUCUGCCACAUCAGUUUACAUAUUUCUCCUUUUAUUUUAUCAUUUUACUUCCUUCUCCAAAUAGUUUGCUAAAUACUUGCUAACUUGCCUCAUGGGAGUGCUAUGAAAAGUGACAGUGGAUAUAUAUUUCUCCCUGGCUGUUGUUCCUCAAAGCCAAGCCCAUUAUGAGGAACAUGCCUCUAUGCACUGAGAUGUUUAAGGAUAAGCACAGACAUGCAGAGGAUCAAAGAGUAGAAAAUAAAUGUUGUUCCAGGAAAGUACCCUCAAGAAGGGGUUCAACUUUGGCCUGGAGAGCUGUGUGACAAAUGUCUGGAGGACAAGUCCUGGGCACUGGGAUUUCCAGCCUCACUGUGCCCCAUGAAGCGGUAGAUCCAGUGGACCUGAGGACCCAUGUAAACUGAGGCCAUACCAGGUUCUCUCCAAGGAUUCAAAACUAUGUAUUUACUUCUAGGUGUUGAAGCUCCGAGAAGGGCUGAGGUUGAAUCCUCCAAAGUUGGAGGCUAUGAAGACUCAAAAUUAAAUGAUAAAGGAUUUAUAUAGAUAUAUUUCUGUGAAUUGUUUUUCAGAGUGCCACACAGGGACUGCCUCACAAUAAAGGGUUUUGGCAUCUUUCAAGUUUCCAAAGGGCAUACCAAAGGACACUCAAAGAUCUGUCAUUCUACCCAGAAAACUGUAAAAGAAGUAGUGCCCACGUGCCACCUAUAGAGUUAACUUCUCACUUUUUCUUUAGAGAAACCAAAAGGGAUUUUUUCAUUGCCCAUGUGAUAGAUUAAGUAUAAUGGUGGGCUCUAAGAUUUAGGUGUUUUUCAAGGAUAAACCGUGACCCUUGCAGUUAAUGAGUAUAUACAGUUAAUCUUUGAACAAAGCAGGUGUUGGAGGUCAUGACCCUCUAAGCAAGCAGAAAUCAGUACGAUUUAUAGCUGGCACCCAAAUCUGUGGUUCCUCCCAAUCCACAGAUUCAACUAACCGCAGACCACAUAGUGCUGUAACAUUUUCUACUGAAAAAAAUCCAAGUACAAGGGGAUGAUGCAGUUCAAACAUAUGUUAUUCAAGAGUCAACUGCAGUUUGAAAGGAACAAAUGCUAAUGUCAAGGGAAAUGUGUGUGUGGCACUUAUAAACAUUUCCUGAGGAUUUCCAUGGACCAGGAACCGUGCAGUAGAGGAUUUCAGCAAAUUGACCUCAACAACCAUGCCAAAUCACGUCAGAAUAGUCUUCCCCUAGUUGUUGGCAUAUCCUGCUGUGGCACCUUCUUCACGUUGUUACAGAAACAUCACCUUCCAGCAAAGCCUUCCCUUGCUAUCUUACCUAAAAUUGCAACUUCCUAAUUCUUCCUAUUCCUCUUUUGCAGUUCAUUUUUCUCCUUAUCACUUAUCAUUUACCUAAUAUACUGUACAUUUCAUCUACAUUGUUUACUAAAUAGUUUAUGCUUAUGAAGGCAGGGAUCUUGACUUUUUUUGUGUACUCCUAUAUCCCCAAUCCUAAUGCAAGACCUU
This 3709-nucleotide long non-coding RNA is filed under the name Sus scrofa (pig). RNAcentral describes it as "lncRNA (ENSSSCG00000053495.1)". Lineage: Eukaryota; Metazoa; Chordata; Mammalia; Artiodactyla; Suidae. The record is from RNAcentral.